This 520-nucleotide ribosomal RNA is filed under the name Streptomyces sp. 306F06. RNAcentral's name for it is "bacterial SSU rRNA". It matches the Rfam family "Bacterial small subunit ribosomal RNA", at positions 93 to 627 of the family's 1533-position model. Lineage: Bacteria; Bacillati; Actinomycetota; Actinomycetes; Kitasatosporales; Streptomycetaceae. The record is from RNAcentral.
UAGUGGCGAACGGGUGAGUAACACGUGGGCAAUCUGCCCUUCACUCUGGGACAAGCCCUGGAAACGGGGUCUAAUACCGGAUAUCACUUCUGCUCGCAUGGGUGGGGGUUGAAAGCUCCGGCGGUGAAGGAUGAGCCCGCGGCCUAUCAGCUUGUUGGUGAGGUAGUGGCUCACCAAGGCGACGACGGGUAGCCGGCCUGAGAGGGCGACCGGCCACACUGGGACUGAGACACGGCCCAGACUCCUACGGGAGGCAGCAGUGGGGAAUAUUGCACAAUGGGCGGAAGCCUGAUGCAGCGACGCCGCGUGAGGGAUGACGGCCUUCGGGUUGUAAACCUCUUUCAGCAGGGAAGAAGCGCAAGUGACGGUACCUGCAGAAGAAGCGCCGGCUAACUACGUGCCAGCAGCCGCGGUAAUACGUAGGGCGCAAGCGUUGUCCGGAAUUAUUGGGCGUAAAGAGCUCGUAGGCGGCUUGUCACGUCGGGUGUGAAAGCCCGGGGCUUAACCCCGGGUCUGCAUU